RNAcentral lists this small nuclear RNA (194 nucleotides) under Heterocephalus glaber (naked mole-rat). Its description in RNAcentral is "U2 spliceosomal RNA (ENSHGLG00100035860.1)". It matches the Rfam family "U2 spliceosomal RNA". Rfam says of the family: U2 is a small nuclear RNA (snRNA) component of the spliceosome (involved in pre-mRNA splicing). Complementary binding between U2 snRNA (in an area lying towards the 5' end but 3' to hairpin I) and the branchpoint sequence (BPS) of the intron results the bulging out of an unpaired adenosine, on the BPS, which initiates a nucleophilic attack at the intronic 5' splice site, thus starting the first of two transesterification reactions that mediate splicing. Lineage: Eukaryota; Metazoa; Chordata; Mammalia; Rodentia; Bathyergidae. The record is from RNAcentral.
AUACUUCCUGAAUGGUCUUUUGGCUAAGAUCAAGUGUAGUAUCUGUUCUUAUCAGUUUAAUUAUUCUUAAUGAAUUCAUUUUGUAAACAAUCUUGUAUGAAUAUGAUUUUUUCCCUGAGAUAGUAGAGGUAGGAAUUUGGGUUUUCAGAUAUCAGUUCGCUUUUCCCUAUGUUCAGAACUUUGACAGAGCCACC